GACGAACGCUGGCGGCGUGCUUAACACAUGCAAGUCGAACGGGUCUGCCCUGUUUUUUGCGGGGUGGGUCAGUGGCGAACGGGUGAGUAACCCGUGAGUAACCUGCCCCUCACUUCUGGAUAACCGCUUGAAAGGGUGGCUAAUACGGGGUGUUCUGGCUGUGCCGCAUGGUGUGGCUGGGAAAGAUUCACUUUUGUGGUGUUUUGGUGGGGGAUGGGCUCGCGGCCUAUCAGCUUGUUGGUGGGGUGAUGGCCUGCCAAGGCUUUGACGGGUAGCCGGCCUGAGAGGGUGGGCGGUCACACUGGGACGGAGAUACGGCCCAGACUCAUGCGGGAGGCAGCAGUGGGGGGUAUUGCACAAUGGGCGGAAGCCUGAUGCAGCGACGUCGCGUGAGGGAUGGAGGCCUGCGGGUUGUGAACCUCUUUCGCCGGUGAAGAAGGUCCUGCUCUUUGUGGUGGGGUUGACGGUAGCCGGGUUAUGAAGCGCCGGCUAACUACGUG
RNAcentral lists this ribosomal RNA (500 nucleotides) under uncultured bacterium. RNAcentral's name for it is "partial 16S ribosomal RNA". It matches the Rfam family "Bacterial small subunit ribosomal RNA", at positions 28 to 507 of the family's 1533-position model. The record is from RNAcentral.